CUUUCUCUUUCUCAAACUCUAGCUUUUAGAUAGAGGCGAUCUUCGAGCUUCAUCCAUGGCUUCGAAGUGGAUCUGGUUGGAGCUCAAGGACCUCUAGAUGAAAGAUCCUCCUCCUAACUCUUGCAGUGCUGGACGAGAAAGAUGAUGCAUGCACAGGAUUAAAGUUGGAAAAAAAUAUCUUUUCAAUCGAAGCAAAUAUCUCGGGAUGAGGUAACUCCUAGGAUUAUUGAGCCGUUGGCUUCUCGAAGCCCUCACAGGAAUGCAACCCAAGUUAAGGGCAGCUGAACAACAGAAGACGAAGAAUAAAAGGAAGCAAAUACAAAUUACAAACUGAUUUAAAUUCCAGUUUGAACUACUUCUCAAUGCAAAUAACUGAGCUUGAUCUAAUAUUCCUAUCGCAGAGAAAACCCUAGAAACAUUAUUGCAA
Molecule: long non-coding RNA, 427 nt
Organism: Carya illinoinensis
Lineage: Eukaryota; Viridiplantae; Streptophyta; Magnoliopsida; Fagales; Juglandaceae
Exons: 2
Source: RefSeq, a predicted model, not a curated record